Small nucleolar RNA from Oryza rufipogon (brownbeard rice), 136 nucleotides. It matches the Rfam family "Small nucleolar RNA Z247". Rfam says of the family: Z247 is a member of the C/D class of snoRNA which contain the C (UGAUGA) and D (CUGA) box motifs. Most of the members of the box C/D family function in directing site-specific 2'-O-methylation of substrate RNAs. Lineage: Eukaryota; Viridiplantae; Streptophyta; Magnoliopsida; Poales; Poaceae. The record is from Rfam.
AUCGUUGAUGACGAUGAUCUCAUCUCCUACAUCAUCGCCGGCCUCGACGACACGUAUGAACCUGUCAUCUCCACCAUCGUUGGCAAGGACACCAUGACGCUGGGAGAAGCCUACUCUCAGCUGCUCAGCUUUGAGC